Molecule: ribosomal RNA, 433 nt
Filed under: uncultured bacterium
Lineage: Bacteria
Description: partial 16S ribosomal RNA
Rfam family: Bacterial small subunit ribosomal RNA
Source: RNAcentral
AACGAACGCUGGCGGCAGGCCUAACACAUGCAAGUCGAGCGGACCUUUCGGGGUCAGCGGCGGACGGGUGAGUAACGCGUGGGAAUAUGCCCUUCUCUACGGAAUAGUCCUGGGAAACUGGGGGUAAUACCGUAUACGCCCUUUGGGGGAAAGAUUUAUCGGGGAAGGAUUAGCCCGCGUUGGAUUAGGUAGUUGGUGGGGUAAUGGCCUACCAAGCCGACGAUCCAUAGCUGGUUUGAGAGGAUGAUCAGCCACACUGGGACUGAGACACGGCCCAGACUCCUACGGGAUGCAGCAGUGGGGAAUCUUAGACAAUGGGGGCAACCCUGAUCUAGCCAUGCCGCGUGAGUGAUGAAGGCCUUAGGGUUGUAAAGCUCUUUCAGCUGGGAAGAUAAUGACGGUACCAGCAGAAGAAGCCCCGGCUAACUCCGUG